GCUCUGUGUGUGUGUGUGUGUGUGUAUGUAUAUAUAUAUAUAUAUAUAUAUAUAUACAUAUAUAUAUAUAUAUAUACAUAUAUAUGCGUACACACACACACUCUCAGACACACACACACAUA
This 122-nucleotide microRNA precursor is filed under the name Pelobates cultripes (western spadefoot toad). Lineage: Eukaryota; Metazoa; Chordata; Amphibia; Anura; Pelobatidae. The record is from RNAcentral.